GACGUAGGGCGCGAGCGUUGUCCGGAUUUAUUGGGCGUAAAGAGCGCGCAGGCGGUCGUUCAAGUCGAGUGUGAAAGCCCCCGGCUCAACUGGGGAGGGUCACUCGAUACUGAUCGACUCGAAGGCAGGAGAGGGUAGUGGAAUUCCCGGUGUAGUGGUGAAAUGCGUAGAUAUCGGGAGGAACACCAGUGGCGAAGGCGACUACCUGGCCUGUUCUUGACGCUGAGGCGCGAAAGCUAGGGGAGCAAACGGG
RNAcentral lists this ribosomal RNA (253 nucleotides) under uncultured bacterium. Its description in RNAcentral is "partial 16S ribosomal RNA". It matches the Rfam family "Bacterial small subunit ribosomal RNA", at positions 524 to 776 of the family's 1533-position model. The record is from RNAcentral.